CUAAAAAAGAUGUAUUUGUCUUCCUCAACAUGGAAAAUAUGUUUUGUUCCUAACCAUCUAUAAUCCAUUCUCUAUGAAGUUCAGCCUGUCUGCUCUUCCUUUGGAAAUACAUAGUUAAUCAACCAACAUAGAAACACACAAACUUGAAGGGAAAGAAUACUAUAAUGAGGAUCCUGGGGAUCAACAGUGAAACAUCUUAAUGACCCUCAUGACUAGGUCUACCGGCUGU
Saccostrea cuccullata (small rock oyster) is the source of this 229-nucleotide long non-coding RNA. RefSeq lists it as uncharacterized. The record is from RefSeq and is a predicted model, not a curated record. NCBI's taxonomy places the organism in Eukaryota, Metazoa, Mollusca, Bivalvia, Ostreida, Ostreidae. The transcript is spliced from 3 exons.